RNAcentral lists this ribosomal RNA (269 nucleotides) under uncultured bacterium. RNAcentral describes it as "partial 16S ribosomal RNA". It matches the Rfam family "Bacterial small subunit ribosomal RNA", at positions 793 to 1055 of the family's 1533-position model. The record is from RNAcentral.
GUCCACGCCCUAAACGAUGUCAACUGGUUGUUGGACGGCUUGCUGUUCAGUAACGAAGCUAACGCGUGAAGUUGACCGCCUGGGGAGUACGGCCGCAAGGUUGAAACUCAAAGGAAUUGACGGGGACCCGGCACAAGCGGUGGAUGAUGUGGUUUAAAUUUCGAUGCAACGCGAAAACCUUAACCUACCCUUGACAUGUCAAGAAAUCUUGCAGAGAUGUGAGAGUGCUCGAAAAGAGAACUUGAACACAGGUGCUGCAUGGCCGUCGU